This 87-nucleotide transfer RNA is filed under the name Holosporales bacterium. Its description in RNAcentral is "tRNA-Leu". It matches the Rfam family "tRNA". From Rfam's summary of the family: Transfer RNA (tRNA) molecules are approximately 80 nucleotides in length. Their secondary structure includes four short double-helical elements and three loops (D, anti-codon, and T loops). The record is from RNAcentral. Lineage: Bacteria; Pseudomonadati; Pseudomonadota; Alphaproteobacteria; Holosporales.
GCCCAGAUGGCGGAACUGGUAGACGCACUCGCUUCAGGUGCGAGCGGAGUAACAUCCUUGGAAGUUCGAGUCUUCUUCUGGGCACCA